UACAACGAGUGCCAGCGUGUGACUCAUAUGCCCGCACAUUCGGGACAUAAGUUGUAGGUAAGUUAUGUGAUUGUUGGCGCACGUGUCAUAGGUCUACAUACAUCCAUUAAUUCUGGCCACUGAUUGGUUGAAACCUGUAGUCCUCAUGUGGGCAGACUGUUUCGUUCACACACGGAGUAAAUCUGACCUGUUCAUUUCAGUCCAAUUCACCAUCACAGAUGGACAUGAACCCACAUAAAGCUUCUGAUGUUUGAAAAUGACAUCUGGAAAUACUUUAAUUCAUGGCUGGAAACGCAGCGUUUUAAAGCACGUCCCUCUGUGGUUUUUCUGCUCCAGGUGCAUUUCUCAGCUGGUGUCAUGCACUCUGAUCACACAGAAGCACUGUGAUGAUUUAAACUUUUAAAGCGUCAUCAUUGUCGAUGUGAUCAUCAAACGACCUGAUCGAUCGAUCAGGGUGAUCACACCUGACUAAUGCACUGUAACUCUAAAGUGUCAUCGCUAUGGUGUGAUCAUCAGACAACCUGAUCGAUCAGAGUGAUCACACCUCAUUAAUGCGUUGUUUAAACAUUUAAAGCGCCGAUCAUCACAUCGACAGAUCAGCACUUCAUUCAGAUCACACCUGAUUGCAGUCGACUGGUGCUUUAAAAGUUUCAAUCAUCACAGCGUUUCAUUAUUCAGGUUUAAAGAGUCACAGCCCCAUUCAUUCACAGCAGUGAUUACCACAGCCAGUUGACUCAUCAGCAUUCUGUACACAAUGAAAAUGGUCCACCAAGAUAAAAAAUGAAAAAAAAAAAAAAAAAAGUUAAAUUGCUCUGUUUCCGACCGGCACCACAUCGUGCACUACUGACCCGAACCACUUGGUGGAAACGGGGCUGUCGACAUCCGCUGGUUAAUCGUCAAGGUGUGACAGCUGCAUGAAUUUAUUAGAAGUACACCAACGUGUGCCAGUGUUUUAAUACAGAUCAUCAAGGUGUGACAGGGCCUUAAAACAGGAUGAAACAGCUUAAUCCGGCUUGCCUCCUCCCAGGCUGGUUUAUAAAGUGCAGAUCUGGCAACCCGCCUCAAAACGAAAGUAAACCGCGCCCUGAGCCGGAGGUCCAGAUGCUUUCCAUGCGCGUUUUACUAUUUGUAAACGCUUGACAAAUAUUGAGUUGGUGUUUUCUUUUAAUGAUGACUGGAGCAGUGCACUUUAAUGUUUUUGAUGAUUGAAUGAAACGUUGUGUUGUUUAGUGUA
Thalassophryne amazonica is the source of this 1234-nucleotide long non-coding RNA. RefSeq lists it as uncharacterized. The record is from RefSeq and is a predicted model, not a curated record. NCBI's taxonomy places the organism in Eukaryota, Metazoa, Chordata, Actinopteri, Batrachoidiformes, Batrachoididae. The transcript is spliced from 3 exons.